GUAAGAAGGCUCCGCGGCUCCCAAGGCGACCCAAGAAUGACCCACCCCGUCAUGGGCACGUCCAGAAUGGGACGAGGUCGAGGCUGAAAACGGACUAGCAGCUACGUCAAGGAACGAUACUGAGGGAGAACACUUGUCUAGGUAGUGUUCACCACGUCACCCGGGUGGUGUUCACCUGCGUGACCACGUCACGCGGGUGGUUGCUGACCUGCGUGACCACGUCACGCGUGCAGCCCAAGGGGCGGGGCGAGUGCGACGUGGCCGUGCGCUCACUUCCUGGUGCGUGGCGAGAGCUACGUGGCUCUCGUGCAAUGCGACCAAUUGCUCAUCCCAGGUGCCAUAAAUGCUAAAUGCUUUCAAGCUAUCAAUUCUGGCUCAGUGAUUCUGCAUGCUCUAUUACUAUAGUACUAUAC
Molecule: long non-coding RNA, 413 nt
Organism: Petromyzon marinus (sea lamprey)
Lineage: Eukaryota; Metazoa; Chordata; Hyperoartia; Petromyzontiformes; Petromyzontidae
Source: RefSeq, a predicted model, not a curated record